RNAcentral lists this ribosomal RNA (1190 nucleotides) under metagenome. RNAcentral describes it as "bacterial SSU rRNA". It matches the Rfam family "Bacterial small subunit ribosomal RNA", at positions 314 to 1520 of the family's 1533-position model. The record is from RNAcentral.
UGGGACUGAGACACUGCCCAGACUCCUACGGGAGGCUGCAGUCGAGAAUCAUCCGCAAUGGGCGCAAGCCUGACGGUGCGAUGCCGCGUGAGGGAUGAAGGCCUUCGGGUUGUAAACCUCUGUCAGGAGGGACGAAGAAUGUGACGGUACCUCCAGAGGAAGCCACGGCUAACUACGUGCCAGCAGCCGCGGUAAGACGUAGGUGGCGAGCGUUAUUCGGAUUUACUGGGCGUAAAGGGUCCGCAGGGGGUUUGCUGAGUCUGAUGUGAAAUCUCACGGCUCAACCGUGAAACUGCAUUGGAUACUGGCGAGCUAGAGUCUGCGAGGGGUGAGCGGAAUUCCUGGUGUAGCGGUGGAAUGCGUAGAUAUCAGGAAGAACACCGAUGGCGAAGGCGGCUCACUGGCGCAGUACUGACCCUCAGGGACGAAAGCGUGGGUAGCGAACAGGAUUAGAUACCCUGGUAGUCCACGCUGUAAACGUUGUGCACUCGAUGUGGGCGGAUCUGAUCCCGUCCGUGUCUAAGCUAACGCUUAAGUGCACCGCCUGGGGACUACGGCCGCAAGGCUAAAACUCAAAGGAAUUGACGGGGGCCCGCACAAGCGGUGGAGCAUGUGGCUCAAUUCGAGGCAACGCGAAGAACCUUACCUGGGCUUGACAUAAUCCUGAUCGCUGCGGAAACGUAGCUUCCCUUCGGGGCAGGAUUACAGGUGCUGCAUGGCUGUCGUCAGCUCGUGCCGUGAGGUGUUCGGUUAAGUCCGGCAACGAGCGCAACCCGUGUCGUCAGUUGCCAGCGGGUAAUGCCGGGGACUCUGGCGAGACUGCCCGUGUCAAGCGGGAGGAAGGCGCGGACGACGUCAAGUCCGUAUGGCCCUUACGCCCAGGGCUGCACACGUGCUACAAUGGACGGUACAAUGGGAAGCGAUACCGCGAGGUGGAGCAAAUCCGUGAAAACCGUCCCCAGUUCGGAUUGGAGUCUGCAACUCGACUCCAUGAAGCCGGAAUCGCUAGUAAAGGGGUAUCAGCAAUGGCCCCUUGAAUACGUUCACGGGCCUUGUACACACCGCCCGUCACAUCAUGGAAGCUGGCUGCACCCGAAGUCCACGACCUAACCCUCGGGAAGGAGUGGCCGAAGGUGUGUCCAGUAACUGGGAUGAAGUCGAAACAAGGUAGCCGUAGGGGCCUGCGGCUG